Molecule: ribosomal RNA, 253 nt
Filed under: uncultured bacterium
Lineage: Bacteria
Description: partial 16S ribosomal RNA
Rfam family: Bacterial small subunit ribosomal RNA
Source: RNAcentral
UACGAAGGGGGCUAGCGUUGCUCGGAAUUACUGGGCGUAAAGGGCGCGUAGGCGGGUACUUAAGUCGGGGGUGAAAGCCCGGGGCUCAACCUCGGAAUUGCCUUCGAUACUGGGUAUCUUGAGUUCGGGAGAGGUGAGUGGAACUCCGAGUGUAGAGGUGAAAUUCGUAGAUAUUCGCAAGAACACCAGUGGCGAAGGCGGCUCACUGGCCCGGAACUGACGCUGAGGUGCGAAAGCGUGGGGAGCAAACAGG